UACAUGCAAGUCGAGCGAACGGACGAGAAGCUUGCUUCUCUGAUGUUAGCGGCGGACGGGUGAGUAACACGUGGAUAACCUACCUAUAAGACUGGGAUAACUUCGGGAAACCGGAGCUAAUACCGGAUAAUAUUUUGAACCGCAUGGUUCAAAAGUGAAAGACGGUCUUGCUGUCACUUAUAGAUGGAUCCGCGCUGCAUUAGCUAGUUGGUAAGGUAACGGCUUACCAAGGCAACGAUGCAUAGCCGACCUGAGAGGGUGAUCGGCCACACUGGAACUGAGACACGGUCCAGACUCCUACGGGAGGCAGCAGUAGGGAAUCUUCCGCAAUGGGCGAAAGCCUGACGGAGCAACGCCGCGUGAGUGAUGAAGGUCUUCGGAUCGUAAAACUCUGUUAUUAGGGAAGAACAUAUGUGUAAGUAACUGUGCACAUCUUGACGGUACCUAAUCAGAAAGCCACGGCUAACUACGUGCCAGCAG
RNAcentral lists this ribosomal RNA (480 nucleotides) under uncultured Staphylococcus sp. RNAcentral's name for it is "bacterial SSU rRNA". It matches the Rfam family "Bacterial small subunit ribosomal RNA", at positions 52 to 514 of the family's 1533-position model. Lineage: Bacteria; Bacillati; Bacillota; Bacilli; Caryophanales; Staphylococcaceae. The record is from RNAcentral.